AUGGCCUCGGCGGGGUUCCUGUUGGGCUUCCUCCUCGGCCUGCUCGCGCUCGCGGCGGCCGAGGCGGCCGCGCUGCUCUGGGUCGCGCGCCGCCUCCGCCGACGGCAGGAGGGGGCCGCGGCCGCCGGGCAGCCCGAUGGCGAGGAGCUCCCCGGCGAGCAGCCGUUCCCCUUCGAGAAGAAGGGCUCUCUGUGGAUACUAGAGCCAGAAAAGCUACCAAAAGUUAGUAAUGAGCGCUUAUCAAGUGGAGGCCCCAAAGAGACGAAGGAGAAAAAGAGUAUUGUCGAGGUUUUUCCUGCAAAGAAAUCGGCUAAAAUCAAGGGGCACUCACUUAGUUUGUCUGGUCCUGAUGGCCCUGACACUACGAUUGAGCUUUUGAAUUGCACGGUCGUUGCUGUUUCUGCAUCAAGUAUGUCCUCACGCAAAUGGACUAAGAGGUAUCCGAUAAAAGUGGAAAGCCAGGAAUCUGAGAUAUAUAAUGGAAGCAAGGUGUGCUUUCUUUAUGCUGAGACUUCAUGGGAGAAGGAAUCAUGGUGUAAAGCACUUCGUCUUGCAGCUACUGCUGACAAGGAGAAAUUGAAUUGGCAUGCUAAGUUGAGCAAAGAGUUCGGUAAUUAUAUAUCAUCACUGAAUUCUGAAUACCCGUGUUUCCUAAAGCCUACAGCAAUGUCAGCUGAGGAUCAUGAGGUUAUGGAUAGUGAAACAAAGACGGACGGGUCUUCCAAAGUUCGUCUUUUCCUCAAAAAGCUAGCAAAGAAGGCAUCUACAAAGGUUCCCGUAGAGGGUAAAACAAGUGCUGCGUCAUCCACACAAGGUGAAAGAAAGAUGUUAGAUAAAUUACGCAGCUAUCAGGCUGCACCGUUUAUUGAAUCCUUCCUAGGUCCACAAGAGGACAAGUUCAGUAGCAGCUCAUCACAAGAUGCAGCAAAACCCAGUGUCCCAACUGCUCCAUCGAGUCACACUGGACAGCUUCCAGCUUUUCCUGAUGUAAAUGCAGAUGAUAAAGUUGUGGAUGAAGGUACACUCUGUUGGAACCUUCUAUCCUCACGGCUCUUUUUCGAUGCUCAAAUGAGUGAUGAGAUAAACAAGGCCAUAAAAGCACGUAUUCAGCGAACAUUAUCAAGCAUGAGGACCCCAGCUUAUGUGGGUGAAAUUACACUUACGGAGUUCAGCCUUGGAAAACUUCCACCUUAUGUGCAUGCGAUGAGAGUUCUUCCACUGGAUUUAAAUGAGCUGUGGGCCUUUGAAGUUGAUUUUGAAUAUUCAGGCGGAAUAUUGUUGGACAUUGAAACGAGGCUUGAGGUUGAGGAACCAGAGUUACAAAAGGAUCUCAUGAAAACCAAUUUCGGAACAGACUCUAAUGGGGAGGUUGACUCCGAGCUUCUUGAGAGUAUUGAGCAGUAUGGUAACCAGUUUAGAGGUUCACAGAACUCAGUUUCUUCAGUGGAAGGAAAAGACGAAGCAGAUGCUAGUCAGUCAAAGAGCACUGGAUGGACAUCAACUUAUAUAUCAAGGUUGAAAAAUAUGUUGCACUCAAUAGCCGAUCAUGUCUCACAGGUUCCACUUUCUCUGGCGAUAAAAAUCACAUCUGUUAGAGGUACCUUGCGCAUACAUCUGAAGCCCCCUCCGUCGGAUCAACUCUGGUAUGGAUUCACAUCUAUGCCUGACCUGGAGUGGGACUUGGAAUCCUCUGUUGGUGAUAGGAAAAUUACCAACAGUCGCAUCGCAUCACUUAUUGGUAACAGAAUCAAGGUUUCGCUCCGUGAUAGCUUGGUGCUUCCAAACUGUGAAAGCAUUUCCAUUCCAGGGAUGUUGGCAGAAAAGGAUGACUGGGUCCCCCGCAAGGAUGGACCUUAUAUCUGGCUCAACCAUGAACCCACCGAGGCCAAAAGCCAUGUCGCAGCCGCCACACCAACCCAUCCCGAGGAAGCUGGCCCCAAGGACGAUGCCAUCAGCAAAAGCAGAGCACCAAGUCUGCCUGCUUCCUCAGCUGGGAGCGAGGAGUCCCUGAAAUCCAUCGACGAGUCAGCCGAAGACCCUCCUGCAGAAGCAUCUCAUGCGCAGUCUCUCCUGGCUGAGACCGCCUCUCCUCCUCACCCGGACGCUACCGACGAGCCGAGGAAACCGCUGCUGGCCACGGAGAAGCUCCAGGCAGACUCAUCGGAGAGCAGGGCGGGAUCCCCACCGUACACCUCCCUGAGGGCCAUCAUACCUGCUGGGGAACAGCAGCAGCAGCAGCAGGCGGUGGCGGCAGCAGCGGGCUCUGUUGGAGAUGAUGCAAAGCGGAAGAGCGGGAGGCGGAGCCGGAUGAUGGACCUGGGGAAGAAGAUGGGGGACAAGCUGGAGGAGAAGCGGCGGCAGGUGGAGGAGAAGGGCAGGCACAUCGUUGAGAAGAUGCGGGAGAACGCGAGGACCAACAGCAUGGAGAGAACCACCUCCGCGUAG
Molecule: ribosomal RNA, 2445 nt
Filed under: Triticum aestivum (bread wheat)
Lineage: Eukaryota; Viridiplantae; Streptophyta; Magnoliopsida; Poales; Poaceae
Description: partial small subunit ribosomal RNA
Source: RNAcentral